UUGCCUACGGGACGCAGCAGUGGGGGAUAUUGCACAAUGGGGGAACCCUGAUGCAGCGACGCCGCGUGGGUGAAGAAGCGCCUCGGCGCGUAAAGCCCUGUCAGCAGGGAAGAAAAUGACGGUACCUGAAGAAGAAGCCCCGGCUAACUACGUGCCAGCAGCCGCGGUAAUACGUAGGGGGCAAGCGUUAUCCGGAUUUACUGGGUGUAAAGGGGGCGCAGACGGCGAUGCAAGCCAGGAGUGAAAGCCCGGGGCCCAACCCCGGGACUGCUCUUGGAACUACCGGGCUGGAGUGCCGGAGGGGG
This 305-nucleotide ribosomal RNA is filed under the name uncultured bacterium. RNAcentral describes it as "bacterial SSU rRNA". It matches the Rfam family "Bacterial small subunit ribosomal RNA", at positions 335 to 658 of the family's 1533-position model. The record is from RNAcentral.